RNAcentral lists this ribosomal RNA (663 nucleotides) under uncultured bacterium. RNAcentral describes it as "bacterial SSU rRNA". It matches the Rfam family "Bacterial small subunit ribosomal RNA", at positions 153 to 814 of the family's 1533-position model. The record is from RNAcentral.
GAAAGGCGGGCUAAACCCGCGUACAUGCCACCGGGGCAUCCCGGAGGCAGGAAAGGCUUCGGCCGGACAGGGAUGGGCAUGCGGCGCAUUAGGCAGUAGGCGGGGUAACGGCCCACCUAACCGACGAUGCGUAGGGGUUCUGAGAGGAAGGUCCCCCACACUGGUACUGAGACACGGACCAGACUCCUACGGGAGGCAGCAGUGAGGAAUAUUGGUCAAUGGUCGGGAGACUGAACCAGCCAAGCCGCGUGAGGGAUGAAGGUACAGAGUAUCGUAAACCUCUUUUGUCAGGGAACAAAGGCGGGGACGUGUCCCCGGAUGAGUGUACCUGAAGAAAAAGCAUCGGCUAACUCCGUGCCAGCAGCCGCGGUAAUACGGAGGAUGCGAGCGUUAUCCGGAUUUAUUGGGUUUAAAGGGUGCGCAGGCGGUCUGUUAAGUCAGCGGUCAAAGCCCGGGGCUCAACCCCGGCCCGCCGUUGAAACUGGCAGUCUCGAGUUGGAGAGAAGUAUGCGGAAUGCGCGGUGUAGCGGUGAAAUGCAUAGAUAUCGCGCAGAACUCCGAUUGCGAAGGCAGCAUGCCGGCUCCACACUGACGCUGAGGCACGAAAGCGUGGGUAUCGAACAGGAUUAGAUACCCUGGUAGUCCACGCAGUAAACGAUGAAU